CAGAGACGACCAGAAACGCCAAGGCAGCAGCAGCAGCGAAUCGUCAUCAACACCUGCCCAAGCUCUGCAGUCCCCUCUACAUAUAUGGAGAUCGCCAGUGAAUGAUCCAAUUUGGGCAGCCGCUUCGUGUUCUAUGUAUGGAGGAAGUGUCCCAAACAUCUUCCAUGGGGUGUCCGGAGACGAUCCAAGGAGGACCAGCGUCUUCCUCGGCGGCAGGGGCCAAUGUCAGGGCGAGGCGAGGCGCUCCUCCCGCGGGAGCGAUUUGUUCCCAGCUCGAGUGCGAGCAACAAUUACCCCGGGCCAACACCGACACAAAGCCACAGGCAGAGAGCCCCCGAAUAGCCUUCAACAGACUGUGGGGCAAGUACUCUUUGCGAGCACCUAUUAUUAUUAUUAAAGGGCGGCACAGCACGCGACAAGGUGGGUGGCCAACACCACGCCCGCCCGCCUUUGUCUCCCCAGUACCGGACUGAUGUUUUGCGCGCCGUACCAGGUAUUCAUUUGAGGCUGAGUCGAUCUAGGGGAAGUACAGGACCGGUUCAAAUAUUUGUGUUCACUGUCAUUGGCCGUGAGCGGCGAUAUGACUCGGGUCACCGGGUUUGUAACGCAGAGUGCGCU
Long non-coding RNA from Lethenteron reissneri (Far Eastern brook lamprey), 618 nucleotides. RefSeq lists it as uncharacterized. NCBI's taxonomy places the organism in Eukaryota, Metazoa, Chordata, Hyperoartia, Petromyzontiformes, Petromyzontidae. The record is from RefSeq and is a predicted model, not a curated record.